AGGGCUUCUAGAGAAAAAUAAUGAGGGGUGUCACGGGGUAUGACUAUAUAGGUCUUGUAGAGGAGAAACAGGCGCUUCUUUUGCGCAAGGUAUCGAAAGGCGCUAUGUUCAAAAAUCUGAAACUAGAGCCCAAAAUUUGAAAAAAAAUUGUAAAAAAAAUAGGGGGGUCGGCCUAUUCCAGGGCUUCUAGAGAAAAAUAAUGAGGGGUGUCACGGGGUAUGACUAUAUAGGUCUUGUAGAAGAGAAACAGGCGCUUCUUUUGCGCAAGGUAUCGAAAGG
Molecule: long non-coding RNA, 279 nt
Filed under: Mytilus galloprovincialis (Mediterranean mussel)
Lineage: Eukaryota; Metazoa; Mollusca; Bivalvia; Mytilida; Mytilidae
Source: RNAcentral